This 959-nucleotide ribosomal RNA is filed under the name uncultured candidate division CAB-I bacterium. RNAcentral describes it as "bacterial SSU rRNA". It matches the Rfam family "Bacterial small subunit ribosomal RNA", at positions 9 to 994 of the family's 1533-position model. The record is from RNAcentral.
GAGUUUGAUCAUGGCUCAGGAUGAACGCACAAGACGUGCCUAACACAUGCAAAUCGAAUGAAAAGAAUUAAUUAUUGUUUUCAUGGUGAACGGGUGAGUAACACAUAAGAAUCAGCUUUUAGAUAAGGCAUAAAAGAGUAAUAUCUUGGUAAUUCCUUAUAUGCGCAGCAGUGCUUAAAAAGGGGAGUCCCGUCUAAAAACGAGCUUAUGCCUGAUUAGCUAGUUGGCGAGUUAAAAGCUCACCAAGGCGAAGAUCAGUAGCUGGCCUGAGAGGGCGGCCAGCCACAUUGGGACUGAGACACGGCCCAAACUCCUACGGGAGGCAGCAGUGGGGAAUCUUCUGCAAUGGGCGCAAGCCUGACAGAGCGGCGUCGUGUGAAGGAAGAAGGCCUGAAAUAGGUUGUAAACUUCUUUUACUGAGUAAUGAAUAAUGACAACGCAGUAAAAAAGUAUCGGCUAACUCCGUGCCAGCAGCCGCGGUAAUACGGGGGAUGCAAGCGUUAUCCGGAAUCACUGGGCGUAAAGCGUCUGUAGGUGGUUUAGUGUGUUCUUAGUUAAAUUAUGAAGCCUAACUUCAUGAAAAGUAAGAAAACUAUUAGACUUGAGUACGAUAGGGGUAAGAGGAAUUCUUCGAGAAGUAGUGAAAUGCGAAGAUACGAAGGAGAAGAUCAUAAGCGAAGGCUUCUUACUGGGUCGUAACUGACACUGAGAGACGAAAGCUAGGGGAGCGAAUGGGAUUAGAUACCCCAGUAGUCCUAGCUGUAAACGAUGGAUAUUCGGUGCCGGAAAUUUUAUUAGAACAUUUCGGUACCCUAGCUAACGCGUUAAAUAUCCCGCCUGAGGAGUACGCUCGCAAGGGUGAAACUCAAAGGAAUUGACGGGGGCUCGCACAAGCGGUGGAGCAUGUGGUUUAAUUCGAUGCAAAGCGAAGAACCUUACCAGGGCUUGACAGUAUGUAU